RNAcentral lists this ribosomal RNA (497 nucleotides) under uncultured bacterium. Its description in RNAcentral is "partial 16S ribosomal RNA". It matches the Rfam family "Bacterial small subunit ribosomal RNA", at positions 28 to 507 of the family's 1533-position model. The record is from RNAcentral.
GAUGAACGCUGGCGGCGUGCCUAAUACAUGCAAGUCGAGCGAACAGACGAGGAGCUUGCUCCUCUGACGUUAGCGGCGGACGGGUGAGUAACACGUGGAUAACCUACCUAUAAGACUGGGAGAACUUCGGGAAACCGGAGCUAAUACCGGAUAAUAUAUUGAACCGCAUGGUUCAAUAGUGAAAGACGGUUUUGCUGUCACUUAGAGAUGGAUCCGGGACGGAUUAGCUAGUUGGUAAGGUAACGGCUUACCAAGGCAACGAUGCGUAGCCGACCUGAGAGGGUGAUCAGCCACACUGGAACUGAGACACGGUCCAGACUCCUACGGGAGGCAGCAGUAGGGAAUCUUCCGCAAUGGGCGCAAGCUUGACCGAGCCACGCCGCGUGAGUGAUGAAGGUCUUCGGAUCGUAAAACUCUGUUAUUAGGGAAGAACAACUGUGUAAGUAAAUAUGCACGUCUUGACGGUACCUAAUCAGAAAGCAACGGCUAACUACGUG